CGGGUUCAGAGUGGUCGAUUGAAUACAUUUUUAUUUUCAUUUUUAUUCUAUCUAUGAUUUCUACUUAUAUCAGCACACUCGAGAGAGGCGCGUUAUCGCGUGUAUCAUUGCGUCUGAUUAACCUGGCUUGACUGGUACAGUUUAGCAGCACCCGAGGAUACAGACGGACGUAACAAACGAAUUAUUCGAUCAAAUCGAAAAAUUGCAACACUAUUCAAAAGGAAAAAUUAGAAGAUGAAGACAUUACCGGCGAGGCAAUCAGGAUGGAGACUAAUGUAUCGUCUCUCGUACACCUUUGUACCAUUAUUCGUAGGAGUUCACGUAGGUUGGUUCAUGUUGCAAGAACGUUACGUGCCAAUCGAAGAAAGGCACAAUCACCCACUGGUCAAGUUGUAUAAGAAAUAUACUUCUUGAGAACGUUACGGAUCUAAUCCCUUAGUCUUAGUAAAGCUUGACGCUGUUGUUCCUAAUUAUGAUGUUUUGUAUCAUGAAACAAAGGUUUCUUUCUUCUUUGUUCGAUCCGAAUGGACAUUUUACUUGGUCUGUUUGCCGCGCACGUUUAAAAAACGUUACAUACACCGAAUAAGUUGCUUUAUUGCAAGGGACAUACGAGUAUACGAGUUGCAGUUCUAUGUUAUAUAUAUAUAUAUACACAAAAAUUAUAUUACAUGAA
This is a long non-coding RNA of Ooceraea biroi (clonal raider ant), 673 nucleotides long. RefSeq lists it as uncharacterized. Lineage: Eukaryota; Metazoa; Arthropoda; Insecta; Hymenoptera; Formicidae. The record is from RefSeq and is a predicted model, not a curated record.